RNAcentral lists this ribosomal RNA (267 nucleotides) under Triticum aestivum (bread wheat). RNAcentral describes it as "partial small subunit ribosomal RNA". Lineage: Eukaryota; Viridiplantae; Streptophyta; Magnoliopsida; Poales; Poaceae. The record is from RNAcentral.
AUGCUUGUUGAGGCAAACAAGCAUGAACAAUAUCAUAUUGUUUACAAGCUUCUUCAGUUGGUAUUGAUUCUCCCAAUAGCUACUGCUAGUGUUGAAAGGGUAUUCUCUUCAAUGAGCUAUAUGAAGAAUAAGCUAAGGAACAAAAUGGGUGAUGAAUAUUUGAACGAUUGUUUGGUUACAUUUGUUGAGAGAGAAUUUUUUAAUCAAGUGAAGGAUGAAGAUGUCAUCAAUCUCUUCCAGAAAGGCGACCGCAAAGUUAUAUUGUAA